GAGUUUGAUCGUGGCUCAGAUUGAACGCUGGCGGCAUGCCUUACACAUGCAAGUCGAACGGUAACAGGUCUUCGGAUGCUGACGAGUGGCGAACGGGUGAGUAAUACAUCGGAACGUGCCCGAUCGUGGGGGGAUAACGAAGCGAAAGCUUUGCUAAUACCGCAUACGAUCUACGGAUGAAAGCAGGGGACCGCAAGGCCUUGCGCGAACGGAGCGGCCGAUGGCAGAUUAGGUAGUUGGUGGGAUAAAAGCUUACCAAGCCGACGAUCUGUAGCUGGUCUGAGAGGACGACCAGCCACACUGGGACUGAGACACGGCCCAGACUCCUACGGGAGGCAGCAGUGGGGAAUUUUGGACAAUGGGCGAAAGCCUGAUCCAGCCAUGCCGCGUGCAGGAUGAAGGCCUCGGUUGUAAC
Molecule: ribosomal RNA, 415 nt
Filed under: uncultured microorganism
Description: bacterial SSU rRNA
Rfam family: Bacterial small subunit ribosomal RNA
Source: RNAcentral